This 585-nucleotide ribosomal RNA is filed under the name uncultured bacterium. RNAcentral describes it as "bacterial SSU rRNA". It matches the Rfam family "Bacterial small subunit ribosomal RNA", at positions 100 to 717 of the family's 1533-position model. The record is from RNAcentral.
ACACGGGUGAGUAACACGUGACUAACCUACCCUGGAGUGGGGAAUAACUGAGGGAAACCUUAGCUAAUACCGCAUAAUACCUACGGGUCAAAGGAACAAUUCGCUUCAGGAGGGGGUCGCGGCCGAUUAGUUAGUUGGCGGGGUAAUGGCCCACCAAGACAGUGAUCGGUAUCCGGCCUGAGAGGGCGCACGGACACACUGGAACUGAAACACGGUCCAGACUCCUACGGGAGGCAGCAGUGGGGAAUUUUGCGCAAUGGGGGAAACCCUGACGCAGCAACGCCGCGUGGAGGAUGAAGCCCCUUGGGGCGUAAACUCCUUUCGACCAAGACGAUUAUGACGGUACCUGCAGAAGCAGCUGCGGCUAACUACGUGCCAGCAGCCGCGGUAAUACGUAGGCAGCAAGCGUUGUUCGGAGUUACUGGGCGUAAAGGGUGUGUAGGCGGCUUUUUAAGUUUGGUGUGAAAUCUCCCGGCUCAACCGGGAGGGUGCGCCGAAUACUGAGAGGCUAGAGUACGGGAGAGGAAAGUGGAAUUCCUGGUGUAGCGGUGAAAUGCGUAGAUAUCAGGAGGAACACCGGUGGUG